RNAcentral lists this long non-coding RNA (6638 nucleotides) under Heterocephalus glaber (naked mole-rat). Its description in RNAcentral is "lncRNA (ENSHGLG00100035829.1)". The record is from RNAcentral. Lineage: Eukaryota; Metazoa; Chordata; Mammalia; Rodentia; Bathyergidae.
CUCUACUCUGGGGAAUCAUAGUGUUCUGAAAUAUAGUUGCAUCAUCUUUACACCUCCUGGUUCUUAGGCCGCAUCUAGACCCACUGCUCCAAGUGGUCAAGUCCCCAGUGGAUCUAUCUUCCUACCAAUGAGAUCUCCCUGAGAACUGAGGGGCUAUAACCUCACCAUUCACGACUGCUCUGUCCUCUGCAAAUCUCCUUCCAUUAUUUCAGGUAAUCCCAUGACUGUCUUGUGGAUUAUACUUGGGUUUCUCUUCCCUGUUUCACAAAAUGCCUAAGAGAACUUAAUAGUUAGCUUUCCUGAUGAAAGCAUUAAAAUUCACCCAUUGCAGCAAAAUCUGUCAAAUAAAUUCACACUUAUUUUCUGGAGAAAAAAAGAAAACUACACCUUGUUUACAAAUGAAAUAGUUUCAUUUAAAUGGGAUUUUAGCCAAGGCAGUUAAUUAGUCAAAAGAUCCAUGUUAGUCACACAGUCAUGCAUUGUUUAUUCUAUUUGAUAUGCCUACCAUUGAUGUGUAUUUAAUAUUCUGCAUCCUUCUCAGGAAAUGACAAAUGCCCUGAAUUCUUUGCAAAUAGAAUUGCUAAUGAGAAAGAAAAAGAAAGUUGGUGUUAAUUAAAUGGUGAUUAAAAAUUUAUCUCCUUUAAACCUAAAAAGUGCAGCUUUAAUAAUCGGUUGUCAUAUAAACAAAUACCUUGCACUGAAAUCCCUUGCUGUUUAAGACCUAGAUAAAUACUAAUUUGAGAAACCUAAAUAUCUUUCAGAGGAGCUGAAUACACUCGUUAGCAUUAUGCACAUUCCUGUACUGUUUCUUUGUACAUAGCUGUUGUGCAUGAACCCUUGGGAAGGGGACAUGAGUUGCUUCCCAAAGGGAGCUUGUUCUUGUUCGCAUUAACCAUCACUGUAGUAGACAUAAUUGGACUUCAAGGAAAAGAAUUUCAGUAGGUGGAACCCAAAUGCACUGGUUGAUAUUUAAUACAAGAUAACAGUUCUAUGUAAAUGUGAUUUUCCUUCCAAAAGCAGUGUUUAUUUUCACUUGAGUCAAAAUUAGGCUUCUCUGAUACUCCAUCUUUGUUGGAUAAACAGGGUUGAAAGUGCUUAUUGAGAGAUUAUGUGGGGUCUACACUUGAAAAGUUCUCCCAAUAUGCAGCUUCCCUUUCUCAUCCCAUUCCUUUAUAUUGUACUGUGUUCAUAACUAAUUGUUUCAGAUGAGGUCAGCUUGCCACCUGAUACAGAUCAAAGAUGAUCAAACGCACUCGUCCUGUGAAUACAGAUGCUUGUGUAUACAUGUAUAUAAUAUAUGUGCUUGAUUUCUGCAGUUCACACAGAUGUGUAUUAUCCAGAUAAAGCUGUACAUAUUGUAAAGUUUAUGUUUAAAAAUUAAGUGGUAAUGAUUGUACUGACACAUGGAAAACCCAUUCUAGUUUUUUGAUGGUUUCUGUAGAGAGGACACUAUAUUUUUUUAAUCUCAGUUCUCCGGAGGAUAACAGAGCCCAAGUAGUAUUUGGGUGUUGGUUUUCUUGGCCCCUUAAAAAAUAAGAAUCUGGGUGAAGGGCGUGGAAUAUAUGCUGCUCACAUUCACUUCUGAAGACAAUGCUAAUAAGGACUAUCCAUCAAAACACACAGAUUUCCUAUUUAAACUCCUUAUCCUCUUUCCCACUCUCCUAUAUGUUGUCUGUGUCCAGAAGUGCUCUCGGGGUGGUAUCAGCUGCAGGUGCCUGCCCAGGAGCAUCUCAGAAAAACCGAAUUUGUAGAACUACACCAAGAUCUGGGGGAAAUGGAAGGGAGAUGAGAAAAUGAAAUCUGCAAAGGGGCAGUAAUUUGUAUAAGGGCAUCAAGUCAGAGAGCAUCAGAGAUGGGGCUGGAACCCAAGACUUUUUGGUCCAAUUUCUUACCAUGUCUCAGUUUCUUUCAGGAGAGCGUUUCUGAGUGCCUGCAGAAGAGUCAGAGAGACCCACUAAGCUGGCUUUCUUUGCCUCUUUGCCCUGUGCAGACCCAUGCAUGCCUUUAUGAAUUUGAAUCAAGGUCCUUCAUAAUCUCUCGUUGUCUCAGAGUCUCAGAGAAGAAAAAACUUUUUUCAUUGACCUUUCUCCCAAGAAGGAACAAUGAAAAAUGUGGAUUAAAAUUUCAAACCAAAGACAAAAGCUGGCAACAAUCACUGAAAUCAUAGUUGUAUUUCCUGGGCACCAAGGUUCAACCAAGCAUCUUGAUCAUGUAAUUGCACUUACCUGAGUGCCCAUUCAUUUUGAAAUCCAGUUUAGGAUUAGGGAGUUGUAAAGCGAACAGAAAAUCUAGUCACUUCUUGUAAUGGUUUAGAAGUUUAAUUCCCUAAUACAAAAGAUAAUUAAAGACCAUAAAAGGCAAAUGGACUAAACAGUAAAAAUUAGAAAUGACCAAUGAAAUUGUUUCCAGGAAAUAAAUAUUAAUCUGAUUCCAUGAUCAAACUUAGAAAAAAACAGGGCUCUCCUCAGACUGUUUUGUAACUCUGAAGAAUAUGACUGGUGCUCCUACAGAUGGCCUGGAUGGAUGUGAACCUUUAGAAAAGGUGCUUGGGGAAUGCAGAAGCCACUACACAGGUGAACAAACUCACCCUUCUGAAUUUUUGCACAGGCUGGCUUGGGUCUGCUUCCAACCAGUUCUCCAAACUUUAGCAAAUCCUGCUUCUUUUUGGCUCUGCUUUAUGACAUGCGCUUCAAAAAAGGUAAAAAAAAAAAUUCCUCAAAGGAUUAGAAAAUAGACCGUGAUGUUAAAAAACAAAAUAUUUCCUGAAAUCUUUUUCCUUUGUUUUGUUUUUGGCUUGUGAGGAGCGCUUUCAAUAGUCCAGGGUUUGGGUGGAAGGGGAGGGGGAAAUAGGGAGAACCUUUUAUCGAGUCCCAAGUGCCUACUGUUGUGGCUGGUACAAGCAAGCAUCAAGUUCCCUAGAGAGAAAAUGGGGCAAGGAGAUGACUAAAGGAGCCUAGGUGUAUUUGAGAAGAGAUGGCAGAGUAGAGAGGGUGGAGAGGGAGCUUUUCUUUACUCUGUCCAUCCCAUUCUGGGUAGUGCUGGAAUAUUAGAUUCUGUGCUCAUCACAAGGACAUUGCAUAUAUCGGCACCUGAGUCUGAAAAUAUAAAAAAUACAUCUACAUUGAGUAUAAAGCAGCCUAGAACACAAUCCUCAAAAUAACAAGAUAUAAAUAUGAUUGCUCCCAUUUUACAGAUAGGGAAACUGAGGUUUAAGUACUCAGCCUCAUCAGAAACAGGAGUUAGCCAAUAAAUUUCUAACCUUAGACAUAUUAGACAUAACCUUAGACAUAUUCUUGAAGUGCCUGAUCUCCUCCAGGGAGUUCAGAAUAGAAAUGCGCCCGUGCGUGCAUGCGAGAGUGAGAGAGAGAGAGCAAGAGAGAGAGAGAGGGAGAGAGAGGGAGAGAGAGGGAGAGAGAGGGAGGUUUGAGUUUUGAGGUUACCGGGCUUUCUCUCGAGUGCCAGUGUCUGUGAUGAGGAGCUUCGGCAUUGUCCUAUCGUCCUACCCUUGCCAUCUGGUGGGGGUAUGUCAAGUACUGAGAGGGACCUCACCUCUCUUCAGAGUCCCCUCAGAGACAUGUACGCUGCUGGUGUCUCUCUUCCUUCAUGUGCUUGUACUCAGCAUUUUUUUCUUUUUUUUGCUUCCUGGGGAAUUACUUUCUCUACUUAGCAUGUGCCUAAUCUUAAAUAUCCCUUUCCUAAUCUCUCUUCUUUUUAUCAGUUUAAAUCAGGGCUAAUUCCAUUAAGCAUGUGUACAUAGUGUGCUCUCCUCUGUGUGUAGGGACACACACACACACACACACACACACACACACACACUGCCUUGUGGCCCUCCAUUAAAGCACUCCUAAACAUUGUGACCCAUUUUUAAAGAGGUGAUGUCAUUUGUAAGUCAACUGUUCCUCUUAUUCCGUCUGUACGUUUGCUUAUUUCUGCCAGGCAGACAGAAUGAGGUUCAGAGGUGGGAGAGCGAGUAGAGAAAAGAGUUUUGCCCAAAAGAUUGAGAGCAUUAAGGUAAUCGCAAUGACUGAGGGCCGAUUAUUGAAAUGCUGUUGCUGUUUACUUUCUUGGUCCGUCCUAUUUUUUGAAUUGCUUUACAGAUGUUUUCCUGGCUGCAGCCUCAGGAUAACUGUUCAACCACCGAACGCUUAUUCAUGUUGUUCCAUGACAAGUGUUGAAGUAGAACAUUUCUAUCGGGCUUCCUGGUACCCAGAAUGGCACGGUGUUAAAUGCAUGCUGUAGGCAACGCCCCUAGGCCCAUACAUGCCUUUCUUUGCAUCCUUUUCUUCCUGUGUUCUAAGCCUCUCUUCUUUUUUUGGUACCGGGGAUCGAACUCGGAUCCUUCCGCUUGCAAGGCAGGCGGCGGAACCACUGAGCUAAAUCCCCGGCCCCCAAGCCUGUCUUCUUUUUCUGGCAUUUAUAUUUGCUAUGAGGUGGGUCGCAUUAGCCUAUUUUAUAGGUGAGAAAACAGAGCUAGGCCUGGAAGGGAUGGUCUCUGAGGGUCUCCAUGGCUUACUCUUUCUGGAGGACCGCUAAUCCUAAUGCAAGUACCCAUGUCCUAGUCCCUGAGAAAUUCUUUCACCUUUCAAGCUGGCAGUAAAAAAACCUAUUAAGACAGGAAGAACAUUAUUAUUUAAUAGCUAUUUUGAGAUCCUGUUGUUGUUUCUGCAAGUGUGUAGCAAUAUUGUCCCAGGGAUGUUGAACUACGGAGAAAGUAGAGCACCCCAAAGAAUAAUUUGGCCAAUCUUGCUUCUUCUUUGGAGGCCUAUUUCAGAGUAUGCAAUCCUCCAGGGAGCCAGAACCAAAUUGCUUAAAAUGGAGUCAUUCUUCAGAUUAACUUCCUCAAGUAAGGUGUCAGCAGUCAGCAACAACAAACAAAACAAAGCAGAUUACCACUGGUAAAUCCCUCUUAUGUACCAUGUCAAGGGACAAUGAGUUUGCAUUUUUGCAAUGGCAGAACAUUCCUCAUUAGCAGCAGGCCUGGGUCAUGACCUCUUCCAGUUAAUUCUCCUUUACACCUUUGGGAAGGAUUGAAGAUGAGCCUUCAAGAGGGUAUUAGCAUAAUGCAUAGCCCAUACUAUGGCUGCCUUUUAAAUUAAUAAGGUUAAUUGUUCUCCAGCACACAAAUUUGUCUUUGACAUUUUAAAUGUUCCACAUUGAUCUGACAUUUCACUGUUUCAAGCUCUUAAAGGGCUUAAAUCAAAGACUAUUGAUAAUUGAGCAAACAGUGAAGGCCCACAAAUAUAAAAACACUGUCAGUUUUUCCAUGACAAACAAUCCUAGCCUUUUGAAUCCAAUGGAGGUUUUUACAUUAGGCAUCUAAGACUUAUUGAAUUAUUUCUAUUCUCAGUUAAGCUAAUUCAAGUGAAUGAACAGUAUUGACUUUUUAAACCUAUUUCACUUUUUUUAAUCUUAAGUUUAUUAGAUUUGUAGACACAGCUUUGAGCCAUGAUCAGUAAGGAAAUGUUCUGGUUUAGAAAGAGAAGAUUUUACGACAAAUUCAAGGGGUCAUCUUUGAAAAUUUUGAUGGAUUUGAGAAGAUGAAAGUGUAACCUUCAUGUCCCCAGAUUUUCCAUUAGGAAGGAUGCCAGUUGCCUAGUUUUUCACAUAAAAUAGUAGGUCAAGAAUAACAUUUUCAUAGAAAAUGCAAUCAUUGCUCGAUACAAGUAACUACAUAGCUAGAUGUGGCUCAUACAUUUUCCAAGCCUGAGGGUCCUUAAAGAUUUUUUUUACCAGCUGUUUUAAAACUACAAAUGCCAAUUUUUUUUCAUUCCCCUGCUAACAUAAAUUUAAAAGCAUAUACUUGCCAAAUUAAUUAGUAGAAUUUAUCAUAGUUUAUAUCACACUGGAAUGUUUAUGUGUAUGUUUUUAUGUAUAGUAUAUAUUUUAUAUAUAUAUAUUUCAAACUGAGUAUUCAGAAUGAAUUACGUGAGUUAAUUGGUGACUUGAAUAAGAAGUAGAUCAUAAAAUUAUAAAUAAUGGCCUUCUCAGACAGAAAAAGAGGGUAAACUUACUCAUUUUUCACUCAUGCUGUAAGACUCAUUUCAUAAUAUACAAGCUGGUCAUUGUCCACAGAGUUCCUGAAUUAAACAGCUUAUACAUAAAGGAUCUAUGCCUGAGUCCAUUUUUAACCCAAUAGGGAUGGAAUUGAAUUCAUAUGCAGAGGGUUUCCACUCACAGCUACGUUCAAACACUGUCUAAAACACAUCUGAACUGGCUUGAUCUCUUGUAUGGUGGAGCCCAAAGCAAGCUGUGUGCUCCACUCACUGGUCUUCAUUUAGGAAGAAGAUCUUCACUUACCAAUCGCAGCAAUUUAUAUCUGUCAUGUUUUAAUCCACUGCAUGAGGAAGUGCUAAUAACUGUAUUAAAUAUUUCCAAGCAUAGCUACAAAAUUACACGUUUGCUUAACACCUUUCUAUGAUAGAGGAAGUAUAUACUAUGGUUGUCUUCUUGUAGUGUGUCUUUUAAUUUUGUUCAAUGUGUUAUCAACUGUUUUAAGGAAUGGGGUUUGAAAUGUGUGUGCAAAAUGAUAUGUACAUAACUCGUGAGGCAAAAGAAGUGCCCGAUCAUAUGGUGUAAAAAUGUAAAUACAGGAAAAUUUCAUUUUUCUAAUAAAGAUAAUUUCUGCCAAUUGAUAUGAA